UGGGUUCGAGCCCCACGUUGGGCGC
This 25-nucleotide non-coding RNA is filed under the name Drosophila melanogaster (fruit fly). Lineage: Eukaryota; Metazoa; Arthropoda; Insecta; Diptera; Drosophilidae. The record is from RNAcentral. RNAcentral also lists the same sequence under 6 other names.